This 1435-nucleotide long non-coding RNA is filed under the name Macaca mulatta (Rhesus monkey). Its description in RNAcentral is "lncRNA (ENSMMUG00000058978.1)". Lineage: Eukaryota; Metazoa; Chordata; Mammalia; Primates; Cercopithecidae. The record is from RNAcentral.
AUGAGGGAAGGCACGAGAGUGGGGGGUCAUCUGCGUUUAUGUACAGUUAAAAUCGAAAUCAGGAGCCUCUUCGAUAACAGUCAACUGACUUACUCUUCCGAAAGAACGGCUAAAACCGGACUGGCGCGGGCGUGCGAGCUGAGGAGGGGGCUCGUUUCUGUCCUAACUGGAAAAGAUGACUCUAGAGAGGUCUCUGACUCUUCAGUUAGAUGACUAUCAUGCUGUUGUGGCAAACUGACAAGUAACACUUUAUCCUCGGACCUGGGAGGACCCCUUAUUCUGAUGUUUUGAUGGAAGGAGACUACGCAGAAGGCAUUCCCAGAGACCAAGCUUCCUGCUCCGUCCGCUUCUGAUGGUGUUCCAGGAGAUACCCGCAACAAUUGCGACACGCUCUAACAUCUGCUGCAGAAUUUUGGGUUACAGUGAUGAUUUGAACAACCUCAAAUGGCCAUUGAUAUUUGACUUUUAAAAUAAAUUUUGGAAGAUUCACGUAAUGGAAGCUUCUGCAAUUGACAAAAGGAAUGAGAUGCACUUCUAUUUACUGAGAGGAAAUACACUAGUAUUUCAGUCGUAGCCCAGUGCAUUAAGAGGAUACACUAGAAAUCCACUUAUUGCCAGUUUGAGAGCCUGGUAUUGCCUCUAAGAAACUUCAUCUUUUCCCCUUGACAACUCCCCCUUUGACCUCCAGUAAACAACUCCCCCUGCAUCUCAAAUCAAAGGUACAUUUUUACUACCAUUUUUUUUUUCUUUUUUAAGUUCCCACUUAUUUAAACGCCCCUUGAAUGCUUACCUGAGCUUCACAAACGAUUCUGGGAAACAAAUAGUAGAAUUUACUCAGUGUGGUUUCCAGUUAGAAGGAAGAGAGCUGAGGAGUAAACUCAACGUCUUAAUUUCUUAUUCUGUCAGUUUUGGUAAAUCAUCUCUUCAAGGGAAUCUGUCCUAAAUUGUCAAAUCUAUUUACAAAACAUUGUUCAUACUGUAUUCUUAGUAUAUUCUUGAUGUCCAUAUACUAAAAUGUAAUGUUAUCCUAUAUUUAUUCCCGGUAUUAGUAUUCUCUGUUUUCUCUUCCUUUUAUUGAACAAUCCUUGAUUUAGAACAAUAAUUUUGUCAAUCCUCCCUAAAUGCCUAUUUUUUGAUUUGUUGAUGUUCUCUGUUUGUUUUUUUUCUGUGUGUGUUCUUUUUAUAAUCUUGCUUCUAAUAUUUUAAUUUGCUGUUUUCCUCUAAAUUACUGAGAAAAAAGCUUUAACAUCAAAUAUUAAAACGUCUUUAUUCUAAUAUAUGCAAGUAGAACUAUAAAUUAGACUAUGGGCACAGUUCAGCUGCAUUAUACAAAUUUUUAUAUAUCUUAUUUUGAUUAUCAUUCAUUUUAACUAAAUGUGAUUUCUUUAAGCUAUGGCUUUGGAUGAGUGUUUUUUCAUUUAGUAACAUUUGGGGG